UGACCACAUCACGUUGAAACACCAGAUACCGUAAGAUCACCGAAGUUAACCAACGUCCAGCAUGGUUGUUAAUUAGAUGGGUGACCACUUGUGAAUGGCAGGUGCUGUAAG
Molecule: non-coding RNA, 111 nt
Organism: Acanthosepion pharaonis
Lineage: Eukaryota; Metazoa; Mollusca; Cephalopoda; Sepiida; Sepiidae
Source: the annotation of a GenBank genome assembly